CUGGGCGUCAGCAUUUUUAAAGCCCCUCAGGUGAUUCAGUGCAGCCCGGGCAAGAACCCAGCUAUGCUCUGAGAAGUGAGUGGGCAGCAUCUAAUUGCUCUUCAUAAAAAUCCUGCUGUUUUCAGCCCCAGCCCACCCUGGUCUUCCCACAGACAAUGGCCACUCCCAUGCCUGAGCCAUCCCAGAUCCCCAGUUGGAGGAACCAUCCUUUACAGCUGACUGACUCACCAGUCCCUAAUGCUGGUCAGAUGUCCUGAACAAGGAAAGCCGUGAUUUCUGCGACCAGAGAGAAUCGGUCAGUCACGGUGUCCCUCAGCCAAAAUGAACUCAGCCUAUUGUCUCCGGAGAGCUGGUAAAUCGGCAGCUGAAGAAACAUACAGUUCUGUGUUUCAAAAUGCAAAAGACCACAUUUCCCUGACCUCGGGUGCUCGCUGACACAUUCCCAACCAAUGACUAUAAAUCUGCUCCUGGAUUGUGCUCAUCAGUUCAGAGCUGGAGAGUAAACAACUUCAGAGAAAGAGGCUUUCCAAAACAGUGGGAAUUUCGGCAGAGAUGGAGCUUGGGGAAACUGAGGCACUCAGUCUGACUUCUCUUCCCUGAUGAGGAUGUGGGCUUGCUGAAGCUGAGUUUGGUUCAAGAAAGAGGAGAGUUCAAUGUUGAUAAAAAUUAUCUUGAACAAAAGUCACAGAUUGCUAGAGCAAGUUCUUCUUGAACUGUGACAAUAAGACCAGGCUAAACAAGCUAAAGGACAUAGCAAAACGCAUGGACAAUGUUAAUCGGCCGCAUUAGGGAAUCCAUGGAGAGGCCACCGUGGGUCUCUAGAAGCUACACUGAAAUGUGUUUCAUCUGCUUCCACCCUGGUGAGAGGGGUCCCACUUCCAUAAGUUUCCAUGUCCUUUGUUAAACAGAGAACCUAGAGUUGUCGUACAGGGUGGGGAGAGAUGUGGUUCCUUCCCACUGGACAUUCAUCCAACUGAAACACUACAGUUGGUAUCUAAAGUGAGACAGGCACUACCAGGCGUGGAAGAUUCAUCAAGCCGAAAGAAGAAACACUGAGCUAGCUAUUUCCAAGGUGGAUACAGAGCCAAUUGUAACAAUGGAAUUUAUGCAGUUUCCCUACCUGGGACAAUUCACACACAGUGGUUAAGGAAGCUCAGUAAAGUCCAGGUAGCCCACUGACUGUUCCCUGGCUUCUCCCAGCCACCUAUGACCUGGACAAGACUUGGAACCCAAAGGGAGUUAAAAAACUAAGAACCUCAGGCUGGGCGCAGUGGUCCCAGCACUUUGGGAAGCCAAGGAGGGCUGAUCACUUGAGCUGAAGAGCUGGAGAGCAGCCUGGCCAACAUGGUGAAACCCCGUCUCUAAAAAAAACUACAAAAAUGAACUGGGCAUGUUGGCGCAAUCCUGUAAUCUCAGCUACUCAGGUAGCUUAGGCGGGAGGACCACCUGACCCCAGGAGGCAGAGGUUGUAGUGAGCUAAGACCAUGCCACUGCACUUCAGCCUGGGCAAUAGAGCGAGACCCUGUCUCAAAACAAACAAAACAAAAAGCUAACAAAACAAAACAGCAAAAACAAAACCUUGAACCUUAUCAAGCCUCGAGAGCCAACCACCAUUAUACCAGGAGCAUAGAACUGGCCAGAUUCGGAUAUGGGGAAUUUCUGCAGGGCAAACGGCCCAGGUACAUCAAGAAACAAUGUCAUGGGAAAAGAUGGAGCAGGAAGUGUGGCAGAUUAAAAGAGACGGAACAGUCAGCGGCAACCUUGGUGUUUUGUUUGUUUCCGAAUCUGUACAAACCAACAGUAAAAAUCCAUGAUUGAGAAAGCAGGGAAAUGGGAAAGCAGACAGGGCCUGAAAGGGUGGUGGUGGCUUGGACCACGUCAUUGUGGUGAAGCUGGAGCUAGAUUCCUCCACAUCCCUUUCUCUGUGGAGUUCUGGGUGAAGAGGUGGCCCAAAGAGGCACUGUCGUGGGAUUCGGGAGGCUGCGUGAAGCAUCAGCCGUGACUCUCCAAAGUUCUUAGACUUGAUGCAUGACAGACACACACACAGGUAUCAACGAAGUCCAGCUUGUCCCCACUCUCCUGUCCCCAUCCACUUCUCCCCGACCACCAACUCUGCUGACCAGCAACGGCCCUGAGCCAGCCUCCAGAUGCUUGCCUGGGGUCCACUCUGGCUGGAGCAGUUCUUAUUAAAGGGUUUUUGUUCAUUGCAUUAGCUUCAUCGCAGUAUUGCAUUACACUGGGGGCAAGACAUUCUCUGUGGUAGGUACACACUGAAGCAUUUAUGGGUGAAAUUAUGUUAUUUCUAGGGUUUGCUUAAAAUACUUCAAAACGAAAGAGGCUGGAGCGUGGAGACUAAACAAAACAACAUUGAAAAAUGGUAACGAUUGUUAGAGUUGGAAGAUGGGCUCAUUGUUCUAUUUGCUCUGUUUCUGGUAUGUUCGAAAAUGUUCAUGAUUUCAAAUUACGGAGUCGGGGGAGCUAAGGAAAUGGAACAGAACCUGAAGAUCCCCCACCCCCUCCUCCACUCCAGACUAGCACUAGGCAAAGUUGCAGGCAAAAUUGCAUAACUGGAAAAUUCUUCAAUUCUUCUUGAGGAUGUGGGUUAAGGGAGGGAGGAAAAACUUAGAGCGGCAAGAGGCUGAUGAAUAGACACACACCACAGAAGAAAAAAGAAAACCAAUUAAAUCUUACUAUUACUUUUAACUGUGAGUAAUACGCUUGGACAUGUGUGAGCUGGUCUUGUUGUUCUUACAAACAAGGCUAAAAAAAACCUAUGACCUUGGAAUUCUCAGAUUCGUGCAGGCUGUUGAGUUAUUUUAAGUGGUGUUCAGAGGACAGGGUUUCUGACCUAAGAAUGUACUUUUCCAAAGGUACCUUCUAACUUGGAAUUUUAAAUAUUAAUUGAGAUAUAAAACUUCUUUUUAGGAAAAAUGUAAAAAUCUCCAUGAGCUCAGCCAUUGUUUUGGUUAGGAGAGAAGAUGACCGUGUAGGAUGGGGGCCAACCCAAACAGAAGGGUGGAGAAUGGCAACAGGCCCACAGUUCUGUUCACAAAUGUUCUUCUCCAGGGCUGAGCUUCUUGGAAAGGGGUUUAUUUUAUUUCACUCUAUCCCUGCUCCACAGUUGGGUCAUUUUAGGAUCUCAGCUGGUGGCCACAGCUUUUAAGGCUUCUGAGUCAUACUCCUUUUUUUUUUUAAGAGGUUAUUUAAAAGUUUUUCAAAGUAGGGAGAUAUUAUAUGGAAAAUAUUAAGCAGAAGAAAAUAUUUUGUAUUGGAAAAAAUAAAUGAUCGGUGUUCAUAAAAGUGUGUAGUCAGUAAAUCAGAAAAACUGUGAACCCGUUAGAGAAACAAACUUUGAGGGAAAAUACUGCAUAUGGUUUUAAAAGAUGCAAAAGCUGAUCCUGGCACCCAGUCUCAGGAGGAGAACAGAGGGAGGAAGUCAGAAAUGCAGAUGAUCUGUGGGGAGGUGCGGGUGCCCAGGGCAAGAGAGAGGGAGGAGGAUGGAGACUCCAGGGCGUGGAAGAGGAGAUAUGCAAAAUGCCGAACCCUAGAGGGGUGCCAGCUCAGUCACCCUCAAGGCAGACUGGCCCAGGUUCCCACACCUCCUUGUCCCACAGUCAAGUCCAAUAAAAUGGCAGGGGUGGCGGGGGGAGGGGGGAGUAGAGACACAGAGCCCUCUGUGAUGUUCACUUGCUGAUGGUUUUCCCUGAGAAGGGACUCAGAAUACGCCAUCCCCAGGCCGGGUGCAGUGGCUCUCAGCACUUUGAGAAGCUGAGGUGGGCAGAUCACUUGAGUCCAGGAGUUCGAGACCAGCCUGGGCAACACAGUGAGAUCCCAUCUCUAUAUAAUAAAUAUUAAAAAUAAAAAAAAUUUUUAAUUUAAAAAAUUAAAAUGAAUUUAAAAGAAAAUUUUAAAAGAUAGGAUGCUCAUUGCAACCUCCACCUUUUAAGCUCAAGCUAUCCUCCCACCUUAGCCUUCCAAGGAGCUGGGACUGCAGGCGCGUGCCACCACACUUUGGCGUUAAGGAUUAUUCUGAGCUGGAGGCACUUGAGAAUCGACAAGCAAGUACAGUUCUCUGCCCUCCCCUUCACUGCCUGAAAGCCAGGCAUCAAUUUCCCCCGUAAAGGUGUCCCUGCACCCCCAUCAGAGGACGAGAAGAGCACUCAUCCCCAGAGGCGGUUGGCUCCAAGAUGAGUCUACAUGAAGAGACCCUUACUGAAAUAACGCCUGACUCCCCAUUCGUCCCCAUACGCUUCUUAGUCACUUUCCUACGAUCCGUUGUCUCUCCAAGCUCAAACCUGCCUUUCUUUGUUAAAAUGGUAUAAAUUCCUGAGCCUAACC
RNAcentral lists this long non-coding RNA (4338 nucleotides) under Homo sapiens (human). RNAcentral describes it as "HSALNT0001276". Lineage: Eukaryota; Metazoa; Chordata; Mammalia; Primates; Hominidae. The record is from RNAcentral.